RNAcentral lists this ribosomal RNA (2064 nucleotides) under human gut metagenome. RNAcentral's name for it is "bacterial LSU rRNA". It matches the Rfam family "Bacterial large subunit ribosomal RNA", at positions 3 to 2053 of the family's 2925-position model. The record is from RNAcentral.
UCAAGCUAAAAAGAGCGCAAGGGGAAUGCCUUGGCAUCAGGAGCCGAAGAAGGACGUGACAAGCUGCGAUAAGCUGCGGUGAGGAGCAAAUAUCCUUUGACCCGCAGAUCUCCGAAUGGGGCAACCCGGCUGGACAAUAUCCAGUCAUCCUGCAUUGAAUCAAAUAGGUGUAGGAAGGGAACCGUCUGAACUGAAACAUCUAAGUAGGACGAGGAAGAGACAUCAACCGAGAUUCCGCAAGUAGUGGCGAGCGAACGCGGAAGAGGCCAAACCGGAGGAAUAAUUCUCCGGGGUUGCGGACAGUCAUUUAGCAGAAGAUAUCUAACCGAAGGGUCUGGGAAGGCCCACCACAGAGGGUGAGAGUCCCGUAGGUGAAAGAGAAGGCUGUGAGACUGGAUCCAGAGUACCGCAGGACACGUGAAACCCUGCGGGAAACAGGGGGGACCACCCUCCAAGCCUAAAUACUACCUGAUGACCGAUAGAGGAGCAGUACCGUGAGGGAAAGGUGAAAAGGACCCCGGGAGGGGAGUGAAAGAGAACCUGAAACCUUGUGCUUACAAGCACUCAAAGCACGUUAAAGUGUGAUGAGGUACUUUUUGUAGAACGGUCCGGCGAGUUAUAGUAACGAGCAAGCUUAAGGUAUUCAGUACCGGAGGCGAAGCGAGAGCGAGUCUGAAUAGGGCGUAAAAAGUUCGUUGCCAUAGACCCGAAACCGGGUGACCUAACCAUGAGCAGGCUGAAGUGAGAGUAAAAUCUCAUGGAGGGCCGAACGCACGUUCGUUGCAAUGACCGGCGAUGACUUGUGGUUAGCGGAGAAAUUCCAAUCGAACUCGGAGAUAGCUGGUUCUCCCCGAAAUAGCUUUAGGGCUAGCGUUAUCUUAGAUUACCGGAGGUAAAGCACUGAAUGGGCUAGGGGGCGAUAAGCUUACUGAACCCUAUCAAACUCAGAAUGCCGGCUAAUUGAUGGAUAGCAGUCAGACAGUGUGAGAUAAGUUUCAUUGUCAAAAGGGAAACAGCCCAGACCCACAGCUAAGGUCCCUAAUGCAUGCUAAGUGGAAAACGAUGUGGAAUUGCGAAAACAACCAGGAUGUUGGCUUAGAAGCAGCCACUCAUUAAAAGAGUGCGUAAUAGCUCACUGGUCGAGUGACUUUGCGCGGAAAAUAUAACGGGGCUAAAAUAAGUACCGAAGUCGUAGAUUUACACAAUAGUGUAAGUGGUAGAAGAGCGUUGUAUUUAGCGUUGAAGGCGUACCGGUAAGGAGCGCUGGAGCAUAUACAAGUGAGCAUGCAGGCAUGAGUAGCGAUAAUUAAUGUAAGAAUCAUUAACGCCGAAAACCCAAGGUUUCCUACGCGAUGCUCGUCAUCGUAGGGUUAGUCGGGUCCUAAGCAAAGUCCGAAAGGGGUAUGCGAUGGAAAAUCGGUUAAUAUUCCGAUACCAACAUUAUUGUGCGAUGGAAGGACGCUUAAAGUUAAUGGGGCUAAGUGAUGGAAUACUUAGUCUAAGGAUGUAGGUUAAGUUGUAGGCAAAUCCGCAACUUUUUAUCCGAGAUCUAAAAGGCUUACAAAACUCUUCGGAGUAGCGUAAGAACCCAUGAUACUAUCGAGCCGAGAAAAGUUUCUAAGUUUAGAUAAUGUUGCCCGUACCGUAAACCGACACAGGUGGGUGGGAUGAGUAUUCUAAGGCGCGUGGAAGAACUCUCUUUAAGGAACUCUGCAAAAUAGCACCGUAUCUUCGGUAUAAGGUGUGCCUAACUUUGUGAAAGAUUUACUCUAUAAGCAAAGAAGGUUACAACAAAGAGUCCCUCCCGACUGUUUACCAUAAACACAGCACUCUGCUAACACGUAAGUGGAUGUAUAGGGUGUGACGCCUGCCCGGUGCUCGAAGGUUAAUUGAUGAUGUCAGGAGUAAUCCAAAGCAUUUGAUCGAAGCCCGAGUAAACGGCGGCCGUAACUAUAACGGUCCUAAGGUAGCGAAAUUCCUUGUCGGUUAAGUUCCGACCUGCACGAAUGGUGUAAUGAUCUGGACGCUGUCUCAACCGUGAGCUCAGUGAAAUUGUAGUAUCGG